RNAcentral lists this ribosomal RNA (255 nucleotides) under uncultured bacterium. RNAcentral's name for it is "partial 16S ribosomal RNA". It matches the Rfam family "Bacterial small subunit ribosomal RNA", at positions 524 to 776 of the family's 1533-position model. The record is from RNAcentral.
UACGUAGGUGGCAAGCGUUGUCCGGAUUUACUGGGCGUAAAGAGCGCGCAGGCGGUCGGAUUAGUCGCGUGUGAAAGCCCCCCGGCUCAACUGGGGAGGGUCACGCGAUACUGUUCGACUCGAAGGCAGGAGAGGGAAGUGGAAUUCCCGGUGUAGUGGUGAAAUGACGUAGAUAUCGGGAGGAACACCAGUGGCGAAGGCGACUUCCUGGCCUGUUCUUGACGCUGAGGCGCGAAAGCUAGGGUAGCAAACGGG